CGAGCUAGCCGUGAAGACAGGUGAGUUGGUUUGUCUAUAAUGUCUGACUUUAGCGUCGAGCUAGCCGUGAAGACAGGUGAGUUGGUUUGUCCAUAUUGUCUGACUUUAGCAUCGAGCUAGCCGUGAAGACAGGUGAGUUGGUUUGUCUAUAAUGUCUGACUUUAGCAUCGAGCUAGCCGUGAAGACAGGUGAGUUGGUUUGUCUAUAAUGUCUGACUUUAGCAUCGAGCUAGUCGUGAAGACAGGUGAGUUGGUUUGUCUAUAAUGUCUGACUUUAGCAUCGAGCUAGCCGUGAAGACAGGUGAGUUGGUUUGUCUAUAAUGUCUGACUUUAGCGUCGAGCUAGCCGUGAAGACAGGUGAGUUGGUUUGUCUAUAAUGUCUGACUUUAGCGUCGAGCUAGCCGUGAAGACAGGUGAGUUGGUUUGUCCAUAUCGUCUGACUUUAGCGUCGAGCUAGCCGUGAAGACAGGUGAGUUGGUUUGUCUAUGUUGUCUGACUUUGUUUCUACUUUGUUUAUGUGUUUGUGUGUAUUUGCAUCUUCUCAUGGGGAGUUUGGUAUUUUUCUGUGUCUUUAGAUCCCAUCACUUCCUUACCGACGAACAGGUGGGCUCAGUCAGGUAAAUUCACAGAAUGUGAAUACAGUAGUUCUACUGCAGGGUUGGGCAACUGUGUGGAAUGCCUUUUGAAGGCCCUCGGAUUAAUAACACAAAUAUUAUAAUAAUAAAAAGAUAAUAUACAUAUUUUUUUUAACUCAGUCGGGGUCUCAACUUACUGUUGCUAGGUAGAAUAGUAGAAUACACAAGGUGCAAUUUGAAGAUGUGGUUGUCCAUCAGCAGUUUUUCUCUUGUUGUCAGUCACUGAUAGUCUCUUAAUUAGUCAUGUCAGAUUGCUAACUAAGUCUAACGGCCACCUAUCUAAAUUUAGGAAUCAUGGUGGAAUUACCAGCCAGGGGGCCCCAUUGACUUUGUUAUUCAGUCUCACUCAGAUAUUAUAUUAAAAACUACAAACAUUUCUCUCCACUCUAUGGCAAAAUGUGUAGAAUUACACCAAAUGAACUCUAAAAUAUAAAGAAAUGUCUCUCUAAUGUCAAGAGGGGGGCUGCUAAACUGUUUUGCUGACAAUGUGGUAGUGGUGGGGGUUAUGCACAUGUAGGUAUCAAACCCGCGAGCCACUCACAUUGAGUUCAGAUUCUUUGUGACCCCCCCACCCCAUCAAAGUUGCCCAUCCCUGCUCUAAUGAAUGAAAUCCAAAGAAAUUCUACAAUUUACUUUUCAAUUUUUUUUCAAACCUUGAAAUAAGAGACAAAAUAUCACAUUUUCCCCUCGAAUUUCCAUGUUCAAUUGAUAUCCUACUUGAUUGGAAUUGUAGCAGAAGAGAGUGACUUUGUCCUUUAAAAUAAUAAUAAUAAUAAUAUUCUACUGUGUAUGACAGUUGAUGUCUGUAAUUUUCCCUCCUAGGUCUUCCUGAGGGACAUCUUGUUGUCCUCGUCUGCUCUGUGUUGGUCAGCACCUGGGGAUGAAUAGCACAAAUACUGUGAAAAUAAAGAACAGAUUGAGAUUACAUUUUUUUAUAUAAAUAUUGUAAUUAGAAAUAAUAAAGAAUAUACGCUUCAUAAACGUUGUACUCUGAAACAUUAACUCUGUUCAUUAAAUAGUAGUUGUGUGUGUGUGUGUGUGUGUGUAACAGUUUCAGCUAACCAGUGUGGUGCUGUAUGCAGAGUCACAGUUCAUGACAGCUCAGAACAUUCCACACAGCCUUAGACCGCAGGCUUAGGAGCAAUGUCAGCAUGUUACUGAGUACUGACAUGAAUAGGGCCCUGGUCAAAACUAGUGCACUAUAUAGGGAAUAGGGCUCUGGUCUGUAGUAGUACCACUAUAUAGGGAAUAG
This 1886-nucleotide long non-coding RNA is filed under the name Salmo salar (Atlantic salmon). RNAcentral describes it as "lncRNA (ENSSSAG00000112069.1)". Lineage: Eukaryota; Metazoa; Chordata; Actinopteri; Salmoniformes; Salmonidae. The record is from RNAcentral.